Molecule: ribosomal RNA, 449 nt
Filed under: uncultured bacterium
Lineage: Bacteria
Description: bacterial SSU rRNA
Rfam family: Bacterial small subunit ribosomal RNA
Source: RNAcentral
GGCCAGACUCCUACGGGAGGCAGCAGUGGGGAAUAUUGCACAAUGGGGGGAACCCUGAUGCAGCGACGCCGCGUGAGUGAAGAAGUAUUUCGGUAUGUAAAGCUCUAUCAGCAGGGAAGAAGAUGACGGUACCUGACUAAGAAGCCCCGGCUAACUACGUGCCAGCAGCCGCGGUAAUACGUAGGGGGCAAGCGUUAUCCGGAUUUACUGGGUGUAAAGGGAGCGUAGACGGCAGGGCAAGUCUGGAGUGAAAGGCCGGGGCCCAACCCCGGGACUGCUUUGGAAACUGCCAUGCUGGAGUGCUGGAGAGGUAAGCGGAAUUCCUAGUGUAGCGGUGAAAUGCGUAGAUAUUAGGAGGAACACCAGUGGCGAAGGCGGCUUACUGGACUGUAACUGACGUUGAGGCUCGAAAGCGUGGGGAGCAAACAGGAUUAGAUACCCUUGUAUCA